RNAcentral lists this ribosomal RNA (468 nucleotides) under uncultured bacterium. Its description in RNAcentral is "partial 16S ribosomal RNA". It matches the Rfam family "Bacterial small subunit ribosomal RNA", at positions 28 to 507 of the family's 1533-position model. The record is from RNAcentral.
GACGAACGCUGGCGGCGUGCUUAACACAUGCAAGUCGAACGGAAAGGCCCUGCUUUUGUGGGGUGCUCGAGUGGCGAACGGGUGAGUAACACGUGAGUAACCUGCCCUUGACUUUGGGAUAACUUCAGGAAACUGGGGCUAAUACCGGAUAGGAGCUCCUGCUGCAUGGUGGGGGUUGGAAAGUUUCGGCGGAUGGGGAUGGACUCGCGGCUUAUCAGCUUGUUGGUGGGGUAGUGGCUUACCAAGGCUUUGACGGGUAGCCGGCCUGAGAGGGUGACCGGCCACAUUGGGACUGAGAUACGGCACAGACUCCUACGGGAGGCAGCAGUGGGGAAUAUUGCACAAUGGGCGGAAGCCUGAUGCAGCAACGCCGCGUGCGGGAUGACGGCCUUCGGGUUGUAAACCGCUUUCGCCUGUGACGAAGCGUGAGUGACGGUAAUGGGUAAAGAAGCACCGGCUAACUACGUG